CACAUGCUUCAAGCCAAGCCAAGGUACCUUACCUUAGAUGAUGAGAUACACAACACACUUCUGAAACUACAUGCAUGUCUUUAAUUGUCAAUAGAUCCAAAACCAAAAAAUCUUAUAAUGGUCGGUCGUGCAUGGUAAGAAAAAUAGACAUUAAGCAGUUUCAUUACCAAAAAACCAAAUUCUAAGUUCUAACAACACACACACACAUAAUCAAAACAAACACAUUAAACAGAAGGAACAAAAAAAACAAUAGUCACCUCGUUAAGCAAUUGUACCAUAGUAUCAUGAGGUGAAACAUAGUUAUAACAUGCUAAAUGUUGCGUGCAUACAAAGAAAGAGCAAACUCAGUAAGCUCUCACAUAAUGAACAUUUAUGUAGCCAAACAGACUAAUGAGCAUUUAGUAAGCUCUCACAUAACAUCACCUCCUUGAAAAUGUACAUAUCUUAAUAUUACACUUGGAAACAACUCAACCACUUUCAACUAAGCUAUAACAAGUAACAUUUAAACAAUAUACUAGGAUUGCCUUCACCAAAAUCCUUAGGAGCAUAAUGCCUUCUCUAACAGUUCCUUUAACUCCCCACUUUUGUAUGCCUCUGCAAAAGAAAAUUUAGCUUAAAAUUCCAUACUUCAAAAAGAGACUGUAACUGUGAGGAACUGGGCACCAAGUUGAUUUCAAAAAUAGACAAAACCAGAAAAUGGAGCUUGACAUUGAAACUAUAAAAUACACAAAUCACAAAUGGAUACUGAUUCAGGUGAAACUAAAACUGCUCUAAUGAUCAAAAAGCCUCUAUUAGAGACUACCCAACAAUCAAGGGUUGUAACAGGGUAUUACAUGAAAUAUAUGCAACUCGGAAUAACAUAUCUUUACAUGAAUAAUUGUAAGGACUAAAAUUGAACAGUAUCUAAUUUCAUUCUAAUCUCUUCUUCAUUGCCGCAAAACCGUAAACAGGCUCAAGAACAGAAACAACCUUAGCCAAGUGCCACAACGCACUGAUGUAAACAUGAAAAACAAGAAAUAGAAGGAAAAUAACAAUCAUAGAGAAAACAAAUAAAUUUGUGUUCUGGGUAUCACUUGCCACAACUAAAAGUUCAGAAAAGUUUAUAGAUUUAAGUUCAGAAAAGCGUUGGAAGGGAAUAUCUCUCGUGCAGAAGUCAAGCUUAUAGAUUUUGUACAUGUGUGGGAAGGUAACGGGGUUAUUGAUCACAACUUCUUGUGUGGACUCUGUUCUUUGAUAAAGUUUAUCUCGGAGACGCUUGACAAUCCAAAUGAUUGCAAAUAAGUUUUAGCUUUUUUCUGAUAAUAAUUCUUUUUAGUGAAGAGAUUUAGAAUUUGGGGUGGUCAAUACACUGCAAAGUUAUGGUUAUGGCUAUGGCUAUGGCUUCCCAAAAUCGUAAGCAACUCUAAUCAAUAUAUCUUUACAUGAAUAAUUGUAAGGAACUGUUAUACUAAAAUUGAACAGUAUCUAAUUUCAUUCUAAUCUCUUCUUCAUUGCCGCAAAACCGUAAACAGGCUCAAGAACAGAAACAACCUUAGCCAAGUGUCACAACGCACUUAUGUAAACAUGAAAAACAAGAAAUAGAAGGAAAAUAACAAUCAUAGAGAAAACAAACAAAUUUGUGUUCUGGGUAUCACUUGCCACAACUAAAGGAACAAGAAAACAGAGGAUAAUCAGAUUAUAAAUGACCAUGGUGAGAGAAACCCAUAGAAGAACUCAUUAAACAGAGGAACUGUACUACACAUACCUGAUUAAGCUAGGGAUUUGGCUCUGUUUGCGUCCGGUUUGGAGAGAAGAGAGAACACAGAAGCUAGGGCUUGUGAUUUGGGAACUCACAAUCGCGAUUCUCAGCCAACCUUGCCUAAAUCGCGAAUCUCUGUGGAAGGAAGGCAGGGGAGAGACUCGAUUUGGAGAGAAGAGCUCGAGUAGGAGCUGAUUUGGGUUUGGAGAGAGGAGCUCAGUUUGCCUAAAUCGUGAAUUUGGAGAGAGAGGAGAGACGCGAGAUUUGGGUUUUNNNNNNNNNNNNN
This 2024-nucleotide long non-coding RNA is filed under the name Panax ginseng (ginseng). RNAcentral's name for it is "long non-coding RNA (PGIN_LNC004274)". The record is from RNAcentral. Lineage: Eukaryota; Viridiplantae; Streptophyta; Magnoliopsida; Apiales; Araliaceae.